RNAcentral lists this unclassified non-coding RNA (266 nucleotides) under Hevea brasiliensis (rubber tree). The record is from RNAcentral. Lineage: Eukaryota; Viridiplantae; Streptophyta; Magnoliopsida; Malpighiales; Euphorbiaceae.
UACACACAUGAUAGUAGUACAUUAAAAACUAACAUGUCUAAUAUAUACAGACAACUUCCCCUGCUCAUUGAUAUGAUUAGACUCAAUGAGAGGGAAAUUCUCAUUAUUACUUUAUAUAUUACUCUAAUGGACUCAUAGUUUGCGAGCCCGAAAAUGACCAUGACCAUGACCGUAACCGUAACCAUAACCAUAAAUUGCUAACCACUUAAAUAUCAAAGUUUCUAAACUAUUUUACCCAUACAGCAGAAACACUUGGUUGCCUCUAC